Molecule: ribosomal RNA, 446 nt
Filed under: uncultured bacterium
Lineage: Bacteria
Description: partial 16S ribosomal RNA
Rfam family: Bacterial small subunit ribosomal RNA
Source: RNAcentral
CCUACGGGUGGCAGCAGUCGAGAAUCAUGCACAAUGGGGGAAACCCUGAUGGGGCGACGCCGCGUGGGGGAAUGAAGGUCUCCGGAUUGUAAACCCCUGUCAUGUGGGAGCAAAUUAGAAAGAUAGUACCACAAGAGGAAGAGACGGCUAACUCUGUGCCAGCAGCCGCGGUAAUACGGAGGUCUCACGGGUUGAUCGGACUCACUGGGCGUAAAGCGGGCGUAGGCGGUUUCGCAAGUCUGGUGUGAAAGGCGCGGGCUCAACCCGCGGACGGCACAUGAUACUGCGAGACUAGAGUAAUGGAGGGGGAAGCGGAAUUCUCGGUGUAGCCGUGAAAUGCGUAGAUAUCGAGAGGAACACUCGUGGCGAAGGCGGCUUCCUGGACAUUAACUGACGCUGAGGCACGAAAGCCAGGGGAGCGAAAAGGAUUAGAUACCCUGGUAGUC